CCUACGGGAGGCAGCAGUGAGGAAUAUUGGUCAAUGGCCGGGAGGCUGAACCAGCCAAGUCGCGUGAGGGAAGACGGCCCUACGGGUUGUAAACCUCUUUUGUCAGGGAGCAAGGUGCAGGUCGGGACCUGCUGUGAGAGUACCUGAAGAAAAAGCAUCGGCUAACUCCGUGCCAGCAGCCGCGGUAAUACGGAGGAUGCGAGCGUUAUCCGGAUUUAUUGGGUUUAAAGGGUGCGCAGGCGGAGGCACAAGUCAGCGGUAAAAUCGCGGGGCUCAACCCCGCGCAGCCGUUGAAACUGGGUGCCUUGAGUGCGCGAAGGGUAGGCGGAAUGCGUGGUGUAGCGGUGAAAUGCAUAGAUAUCACGCAGAACUCCGAUCGCGAAGGCAGCCUACCGGCGCGCAACUGACGCUCAUGCACGAAAGCGUGGGUAUCGAACAGGAUUAGAUACCCGAGUAGUC
This 459-nucleotide ribosomal RNA is filed under the name uncultured bacterium. Its description in RNAcentral is "partial 16S ribosomal RNA". It matches the Rfam family "Bacterial small subunit ribosomal RNA", at positions 338 to 795 of the family's 1533-position model. The record is from RNAcentral.